RNAcentral lists this ribosomal RNA (650 nucleotides) under Phoma sp. A558. RNAcentral's name for it is "SSU rRNA". It matches the Rfam family "Eukaryotic small subunit ribosomal RNA", at positions 150 to 812 of the family's 1831-position model. Lineage: Eukaryota; Fungi; Ascomycota; Dothideomycetes; Pleosporales; Didymellaceae. The record is from RNAcentral.
UGGUAAUUCUAGAGCUAAUACAUGCUAAAAACCCCGACUUCGGGAGGGGUGUAUUUAUUAGAUAAAAAACCAACGCCCUUCGGGGCUUUUUGGUGAUUCAUGAUAACUUUUCGGAUCGCAUGGCCUUGCGCCGGCGACGGUUCAUUCAAAUUUCUGCCCUAUCAACUUUCGAUGGUAAGGUAUUGGCUUACCAUGGUUUCAACGGGUAACGGGGAAUUAGGGUUCGAUUCCGGAGAGGGAGCCUGAGAAACGGCUGCCACAUCCAAGGAAGGCAGCAGGCGCGCAAAUUACCCAAUGGCAAUACGCCGAGGUAGUGACAAUACAUACUGAUACAGGGCUCUUUCGGGUCUUGUAAUUGGAAUGAGUACAAUUUAAACCUCUUAACGAGGAACAAUUGGAGGGCAAGUCUGGUGCCAGCAGCCGCGGUAAUUCCAGCUCCAAUAGCGUAUAUUAAAGUUGUUGCAGUUAAAAAGCUCGUAGUUGAAGCUUGGGUCUGGCUGGCAGGUCCGCCUCACCGCGUGUACUUGUCCGGCCGGGUCUUCCUUCUGGAGAACCUCAUGCCCUUCACUGGGCGUGUUGGGGACCAGGACUUUUACUUUGAAAAAAUUAGAGUGUUCAAAGCAGGCCUUUGCUCGAAUACGUUAGCAUGG